CAGGCCUAACACAUGCAAGUCCAACGUGAAAGGGGAGCAAUCCCCCGGUAGGGUGGCAAACGGGUGAGUAAUACAUGGGUGAUCUACCUUAGGGAUGGGGAUAUCCUUCCGAAAGGAGGGGCAAUACCGAAUAUUGUCCGGAGCCGUGAAGGGUUCCGGGGAAAGGGAGGCCUCUGAUACAAGCUUUCGCCUUAAGAUGAGCCCAUGGCCCAUCAGCUAGUUGGUAGGGUAAAGGCCUACCAAGGCUACGACGGGUCGCUGGUCUGAGAGGACGACCAGCCACACUGGCACUGAGAUACGGGCCAGACUCCUACGGGAGGCAGCAGUGAGGAAUAUUGCGCAAUGGGGGAAACCCUGACGCAGCAACGCCGCGUGUGGGAAGAAGGCCUUCGGGUCGUAAACCACUUUUGCACGGGACGAAAAAGGGAUAUCGAACAAAUAUCCCCGAUGACGGUACCGUGAGAAUAAGCCCCGGCUAACUCCGUGCCAGCAGCCGCGGUAAUACGGAGGGGGCUAGCGUUGUUCGGAAUUACUGGGCGUAAAGAGUCUGUAGGUGGUUUGUCAAGUCUUUGGUGAAAGGCCGUAGCUUAACUAUGGGAAUGCCAAAGAGACUGGCAGGCUGGAGGCUGGGAGAGGGAAGCGGAAUUUCUGGUGUAGCGGUGAAAUGCGUAGAUAUCAGAAGGAAGGCCGGUGGCGAAGGCGGCUUCCCUGGAACAGUCCUGACACUGGGAGACGAAAGCGUGGGGGAGCAAACAGGAUUAGAUACCCUGGUAGUCCACGCCCUAAACGAUGGGUACUAAGUGUGGAGGGGUUAAACCCUCCGUGCCGCAGCAAACGCAGUAGUACCCCGCCUGGGGAGUACGGCCGCAGGUUGAACCUCAAGGAUUUGACGGGGUCCGCACAAGCGGUUG
This 911-nucleotide ribosomal RNA is filed under the name uncultured bacterium. RNAcentral describes it as "bacterial SSU rRNA". It matches the Rfam family "Bacterial small subunit ribosomal RNA", at positions 43 to 935 of the family's 1533-position model. The record is from RNAcentral.